ACUCGGCAAAAUGACCCCGUAACUUCGGGAGAAGGGGUGCUCUUUAGGGUUAACGCCCAGAAGAGCCGCAGUGAAUAGGCCCAAGCGACUGUUUAUCAAAAACACAGGUCUCUGCUAAACCGUAAGGUGAUGUAUAGGGGCUGACGCCUGCCCGGUGCUGGAAGGUUAAGAGGAGUGGUUAGCUUCUGCGAAGCUACGAAUCGAAGCCCCAGUAAACGGCGGCCGUAACUAUAACGGUCCUAAGGUAGCGAAAUUCCUUGUCGGGUAAGUUCCGACCCGCACGAAAGGCGUAACGAUUUGGGCACUGUCUCAACGAGAGACUCGGUGAAAUCAUAGUACCUGUGAAGAUGCAGGUUACCCGCGACAGGACGGAAAGACCCCGUGGAGCUUUACUGUAGCCUGAUAUUGAAAUUCGGCACAGCUUGUACAGGAUAGGUAGGAGCCUUUGAAACGUGAGCGCUAGCUUACGUGGAGGCGCUGGUGGGAUACUACCCUAGCUGUGUUGGCUUUCUAACCCGCACCACUUAUCGUGGUGGGAGACAGUGUCAGGCGGGCAGUUUGACUGGGGCGGUCGCCUCCUAAAAGGUAACGGAGGCGCUCAAAGGUUCCCUCAGAAUGGUUGGAAAUCAUUCAUAGAGUGUAAAGGCAUAAGGGAGCUUGACUGCGAGACCUACAAGUCGAGCAGGGUCGAAAGACGGACUUAGUGAUCCGGUGGUUCCGCAUGGAAGGGCCAUCGCUCAACGGAUAAAAGCUACCCCGGGGAUAACAGGCUUAUCUCCCCCAAGAGUUCACAUCGACGGGGAGGUUUGGCACCUCGAUGUCGGCUCAUCGCAUCCUGGGGCUGUAGUCGGUCCCAAGGGUUGGGCUGUUCGCCCAUUAAAGCGGUACGCGAGCUGGGUUCAGAACGUCGUGAGAC
Molecule: ribosomal RNA, 916 nt
Filed under: Staphylococcus aureus
Lineage: Bacteria; Bacillati; Bacillota; Bacilli; Caryophanales; Staphylococcaceae
Description: partial 23S ribosomal RNA
Rfam family: Bacterial large subunit ribosomal RNA
Source: RNAcentral